CCUACGGGAGGCAGCAGUGGGGAAUAUUGCACAAUGGGGGAAACCCUGAUGCAGCGACGCCGCGUGAGCGAAGAAGUAUUUCGGUAUGGUAAACUCUAUCAGCAGGGGAAAAAAUGACGGUACCUGACUAAGAAGCUGCGUCUAAAUACGUCAAGGCAGCGCCGGUAAUACGUAGGGAGCAAGGGUAAUCCGGAGUUACGGGGUGUUAAGGGGGCGUAGGGGGUAUGGCAAGUCUGAUGUGAAAGGCCAGGGCUCAACCCUGGGACUGCAGUUGAAACUGGUGGACUGGAGUGUCGGUGAGGCAGGUGGAAUGCGUGGUGUAGCGGUGAAAUGCGUAGAUAUGAGGAAGAACACCAGUGGCGAAGGCAGCUUGCUGGACGAUGACUGACGCUGAGGCUCGAAAGCGUGGGUAGCAAACAGGAUUAGAUACCCUAGUAGUC
RNAcentral lists this ribosomal RNA (440 nucleotides) under uncultured bacterium. RNAcentral describes it as "partial 16S ribosomal RNA". It matches the Rfam family "Bacterial small subunit ribosomal RNA", at positions 338 to 795 of the family's 1533-position model. The record is from RNAcentral.